AUUUGAGUAGCUUAAGUUAGAGUAUAAUAUUGAAGAUAUUAGGGUGAUACUGAUCCUUAAAUA
RNAcentral lists this transfer RNA (63 nucleotides) under Tettigades dumfriesi. Its description in RNAcentral is "tRNA-Phe". Lineage: Eukaryota; Metazoa; Arthropoda; Insecta; Hemiptera; Cicadidae. The record is from RNAcentral.